AUAUCCAAAAUUUUGUUUUUUUUUUUCCAAAUUCACUUGUUUUGAAGCUUUAACAGGACAUGCCAGAAUUCAACUAGCAGUGAUGGAAGGAGCAGAGGAAGACCAGUGACAUCUGGUUGUGGUGACAACAAAUAAUAUGAUCGCUUGCCGAAGGAUGCAUCAGGUAUCUGCGCCCUCGUGUCUUUGAUAAUGCCUGUAGUGGUUGUCCCCAUUGAAACACAGAAUCUCAAUUGGAACAUGGAGUCCCCACUGGCAGGGCUCCUGAAGCGAGCCAAAAGAGACGUUUUGCCCCCAUUGUUGAGCGACAACGAUCCAACAUAUAUUGACGCUAUAGGAGUGCCCCGGGGUGUGCCAGGCCAGAUAAGUAUAAACUCGUUAAUCAAGUGUUUUCGGGAUUCGAAAGCAUUUUCCUAUGGAUCACCCCCAAUAA
Long non-coding RNA from Syngnathus acus (greater pipefish), 430 nucleotides. RefSeq lists it as uncharacterized. The record is from RefSeq and is a predicted model, not a curated record. Lineage: Eukaryota; Metazoa; Chordata; Actinopteri; Syngnathiformes; Syngnathidae. The transcript has 3 exons.